CCCUUUGUUUAUUUAUACCUUUGUUGCUUUGGCAGACCCGGCUUCGGCCCACCGGCUCCGGCUGGUCAGUGUCUGCCAGAGGACCUAAAACUCUGUUUGUUAAUAUUGUCUGAGUACUAUAUAAUAGUUAAAACUUUCAACAACGGAUCUCUUGGUUCUGGCAUCGAUGAAGAACGCAGCGAAAUGCGAUAAGUAAUGUGAAUUGCAGAAUUCAGUGAAUCAUCGAAUCUUUGAACGCACAUUGCGCCCUCUGGUAUUCCGGGGGGCAUGCCUGUUCGAGCGUCAUUACAACCCUCAAGCUUUGCUUGGUAUUGGACAUUGCCAGUUUCUGGCAGGUCUUAAAAUCAGUGGCGGUGCCAUUUGGCUUCAAGCGUAGUAAUUCUUCUCGCUUUGGAGAUCCAAGUGGUUACUUGCCAAUAACCCCCAAUUUUU
RNAcentral lists this ribosomal RNA (432 nucleotides) under fungal endophyte. Its description in RNAcentral is "eukaryotic LSU rRNA". The stretch from base 132 to 285 matches the Rfam family "5.8S ribosomal RNA". Lineage: Eukaryota; Fungi. The record is from RNAcentral.